CCAUUUUCCAUACCGUGUUUUUGGCUUGUCCUGAAUCACUAGGGUGCACCUAUAAUAAGUGUUUAUAUUCGGACUAUUUUAGAUUGCUUCGGUGGGUACCGCGGCGGAGUAACCCAGUACCUUUGUGAUUCUUCAUAGACAUAAACAGAGAGAAGUAGUUCCGGCUACGAUGUUCUUCCGCAAGACGCAAGCAGUUCUGUUCAUUAACCGCUAGAGCGUCAAAAGUUCCCUACCGCAGCUUUAAUACCAUUCUUAUUGAUUUUUCCUUUGAUUGGCACCCAUAACAGUAUUUGUGUGUGGAUUAAUUGUUUGCUUUGAAGGGCUUUUUUGUAAAGUGCCUGUAAACUAUAAACUCAAACACUUUUGUGAAAAUGUACCACAGCAUUCAUUUCAUUCUCUUUUGUCUUUAUAGUUAUCCAAGGUCAUGAGGAGCAGGUUUACAGUGCUGCUUCAAUACAGCAAACAACAGAUUAUGUUGAAGGUCAUUUGCCUGCAUAUCAUUUCUCGCUCUUCUCAUGAGAUGAUCCGGUGUAAGUGUGUGUUCCAGCACUAGUGGAAAGCUCAGACGUUUCCACCCAAAGCGACUGGCCGAUGUCCAGCCUGCCACGCUUUUGUUUUUCCUUUGAAAACUUCAGCUGAAAUACUAAAUCCCUGAAAUUGUUAACGAGCUCUGACCUACAUUCCACAGCUCAGACUUUCUCUCUCUGUUUGUGUCCUUCAUUUGAACAUGCAUCACUAGUUAGAGUUUUGAAAUUGUAUUAAUAGGUCAUAGCCUAAUAACUGUGUAGAACUGUGUAGUUUCUGUGUCCCAAGCAAAUGUGCAAGAAUGAUGGUUUUUUUUUUUUUAAUUGAUUGAAUAUUUUACUCUGCCUCAUUCAUUAACAUUAUAUUAUUCAAUUUUGACUUAGAUUUUAAUAUUUCGUUUGCGGAUUUCAUUUGUUUUUUAAGAUAUGUAUAGUAUUUAUAAAUAUAGUGUUUAUUUAGUUUUAGUUACUUUAGUAACUUGAGCUCAAAUAAAAUGAUAAAUAUUAAAUGUUUUUUGUUUUGUUUUGUUUAAUCAAAAAAUAUAGGAUAUUGUGAUAACGUCUCUGUUACAUAUGGUAACCCUCGUUCCCUGAAGGAGGGAACGGAGACGCCACGUCGGUGACCGACGAAUAUGGGAUAUCGCUUCGAUAGACCAAUCUACUUUGAGUGUAAACUAAACGAGCCAAUGCACAAUGGCAUGCAAUUAUUGCAUCCAGCUGCCGCUGAUCACUGCGUGAGU
This 1264-nucleotide long non-coding RNA is filed under the name Carassius auratus (goldfish). Its description in RNAcentral is "lncRNA (ENSCARG00000054915.1)". The record is from RNAcentral. Lineage: Eukaryota; Metazoa; Chordata; Actinopteri; Cypriniformes; Cyprinidae.